This 861-nucleotide ribosomal RNA is filed under the name Triticum aestivum (bread wheat). Its description in RNAcentral is "partial small subunit ribosomal RNA". Lineage: Eukaryota; Viridiplantae; Streptophyta; Magnoliopsida; Poales; Poaceae. The record is from RNAcentral.
AUGUCGGAGAUCAGGAGAUGGCCUUGUUCUACAGCACCACCGCAAAUAUAUGUGUUCCCUCCAGGUUCAGUUGCUGCUGCAUCCUUGAGGCCUCGGCGAGUAGGAGAGUUGCGCCGGCGUCCAGAAUACUGGCCGCGACCGACAGGAGCAAGCGCCGUAAUUGUGCCGGCGUUGAGGAGUAUGGUCGCGAACGACGAGAGCAAGCAUCCAACGUGUUGUGACCAGGGGAAAAUCCGCGCCGGCGUCGAGGUGUGCGGCUGUACCGGCGGCCGGCAGUGGCAAUCCGGAUUUCACAACUUGGAUUCAAACUUUCAGAGAAGAAGCUACCUUGCUGCUUCGAGAUCCGUACUGCCAGGUGUCACCCAAUGGAGUGGGUCUCCAGAUCAGAAGUAUACGACCCGGUCGUAUAAGAUUUUCUUCCUCUUUCCACACGGAGUGUCCAUAUUUGAACUUGCAAACUUCUUGAGCCCAAACACUAUCCUAGACAACCUGGACUCAAUGGCCGCUGGUGCUGCUACUCAAGCUCGUGUCAUGGUGCUACCCUUCCCCGCGCAGGGCCAUGUCAUCCCGCUCAUGGAGCUGUCUCGCAAGCUCGCCGAGCACCGCCUCGAGGUGGACUUCGUGAACACCGAGUUCAACCACGACCUCGUCAUGGAAGCAAUGGCAGAGAAGGGAGCAAUUCCUAAUGGGAUCCACAUGCUCACCGUUCCGGACAGCCUGGGCCCCGGAGACGACCACGCCGACAUCAGCAAGUUUGUCGAGGACCUGCCGGCCGCCAUGUCCGGCCGCCUCGAGGAGAUGAUCCGAUCCAGGAAGAUUAGGUGGGUGAUCGUGGAUGUGUCCAUGAGCUGGGCGCUGUAG